UUUUUUUUUCUUUUUUUUUUUUCUAAAGAAACACAUGUCUAGCAAAGGAAUUGUGUUUUCGAUUUUCAGAAAUUGCGGAAACGGCAUGAAGACGUGUCGAAACUGUUCUCAUGUUUUCCACAAAGAAACAUUUCCGAAAUGGGGAAACGCAGCCCCCAUCGCAUUUUCAUGCUUCGCAGACAUUAGGGAGUGUUUGGUUCACCUGUUGAGUGCAGCUAAUAGCUGAUACACCCAAAUAAGUGAACUAGAAUAUUUGACAAGCUUAAAAAAAUAAAACUGAUAACUGAUGGACAACUGAUAUGAUACCCAUCAGCU
RNAcentral lists this unclassified non-coding RNA (315 nucleotides) under Hevea brasiliensis (rubber tree). Lineage: Eukaryota; Viridiplantae; Streptophyta; Magnoliopsida; Malpighiales; Euphorbiaceae. The record is from RNAcentral.